This 174-nucleotide ribosomal RNA is filed under the name Triticum aestivum (bread wheat). RNAcentral's name for it is "partial small subunit ribosomal RNA". Lineage: Eukaryota; Viridiplantae; Streptophyta; Magnoliopsida; Poales; Poaceae. The record is from RNAcentral.
AUGGCCUCUCUUGUGUUGCUCACUUCUUGGGUCAUUUCGAAUGAACGCAAUGCACGGAUUUUCCGUCACAAGUCUGCUCCAUCAUCGGUUUUGUUGUCCAAUAUCAAAAGGGAGGCGGCCCUAUGGGCCACCGUGGGAGCAAAAAAGUUGUGAUCAAUCAUGCCGGGAGAGUAA